RNAcentral lists this ribosomal RNA (467 nucleotides) under uncultured bacterium. RNAcentral's name for it is "partial 16S ribosomal RNA". It matches the Rfam family "Bacterial small subunit ribosomal RNA", at positions 28 to 507 of the family's 1533-position model. The record is from RNAcentral.
GACGAACGCUGGCGGCGUGCUUAGCACAUGCAAGUCGAACGGAAAGGCUCCAGCUUGCUGGAGUACUCGAGUGGCGAACGGGUGAGUAACACGUGGGUAAUCUGCCCUGCACUCUGGGAUAAGCCCGGGAAACUGGGUCUAAUACUGGAUAUGACCUUUCUCCUUAUGGGGUUUGGUGGAAAGUUUUUCGGUGUAGGAUGAGCCCGCGGCCUAUCAGCUUGUUGGUGGGGUGAUGGCCUACCAAGGCGACGACGGGUAGCCGGCCUGAGAGGGUGAUCGGCCACAUUGGGACUGAGAUACGGCCCAGACUCCUACGGGAGGCAGCAGUGGGGAAUAUUGCACAAUGGGCGGAAGCCUGAUGCAGCGACGCCGCGUGAGGGAUGACGGCCUUCGGGUUGUAAACCUCUUUCAGCAGGGACGAAGCGUAAGUGACGGUACCUGCAGAAGAAGCACCGGCUAACUACGUG